Molecule: ribosomal RNA, 484 nt
Filed under: uncultured bacterium
Lineage: Bacteria
Description: partial 16S ribosomal RNA
Rfam family: Bacterial small subunit ribosomal RNA
Source: RNAcentral
AUUGAACGCUGGCGGCAGGCCUAACACAUGCAAGUCGAGCGGAUGAAGGGAGCUUGCUCCUGGAUUCAGCGGCGGACGGGUGAGUAAUGCCUAGGAAUCUGCCUGGUAGCGGGGGAUAACGUCCGGAAACGGGCGCUAAUACCGCAUACGCCCUGAGGGCGAACGUGGGGGAUCUUCGGACCUCACGCUCUCAGAUGAGCCUAGGUCGGAUUAGCUAGUUGGUGGGGUAAAGGCCUACCAAGGCGACGAUCCGUAACUGGUCUGAGAGGAUGAUCAGUCACACUGGAACUGAGACACGGUCCAGACUCCUACGGGAGGCAGCAGUGGGGAAUAUUGGACAAUGGGCGAAAGCCUGAUCCAGCCAUGCCGCGUGUGUGAAGAAGGUCUUCGGAUUGUAAAGCACUUUAAGUUGGGAGGAAGGGCAGUAAGUUAAUACCUUGCUGUUUUGACGUUACCAACAGAAUAAGCACCGGCUAACUUCGUG